GGGCUUGUAACUCAGGGGUAGAGUGCUCGCUUCGCAUGCGAGAAGUCCGGGGUUCAAUUCCCCGCAAGUCCA
This is a non-coding RNA of Aspergillus avenaceus, 72 nucleotides long. NCBI's taxonomy places the organism in Eukaryota, Fungi, Ascomycota, Eurotiomycetes, Eurotiales, Aspergillaceae. The record is from the annotation of a GenBank genome assembly.